CCAGAGUUGAAAAGAGCUUUAAAUAUGUCAAAAAUUUAAAGACUACAUUUUGGGUAUGUUUGAUAGAUUUUCCUACAAACGCUGUGUUUGCUAGGUGGAAGGGGGAAUAACCCUAUCUCCUAACCCACGCCCUUAGGAGCGAAAUACAGCAUGAUGCCCAUACUCCUCCUCCCCAGGGGAUCCCACUACAGCAGCCAGUAUGGGGCUUACCCACCUGCUGCUGGCUCUUGCAGGCUUCAGCAACCCCUCACCACACACCGCAAAGGUAGGUACAGAUAAUAUAACAUAUGCAUGGUAAGACUUGCAUAUUUAGACAGAUUCUUUCUAAAAAUAAAGUACUGGAGAAGAUAACCAGACAAGACUGGUACCAGGAGUGCAUGGUUUUACUCUGGGCUCUGCUCGCAGCGUACAGCCACCCCGACUUUCUGCCACGUCAACCAGCUCCACGUGGAGCAGCACCUCAUCUGGUGCAAAGCAGCACCACUGUGCAGUGACUUAAUGAGAAUUUCACUAAUUAACCCCAGCACAGGACUGAUGGCUUUCUGCCUGAGGAGAAGCAAACAUUUUCCCUGCCUGCUGGUCCGUGAAAAGCUUUUGUUAGAAGGGCUGAUCUUUUUCUGGUGUGCAGAAGAACAGUUGCGUUAUGUUUCCGUUUCUGGAAAGAGCUUCAGUGAGUGCUUGCUGCGCCGAGGAGACAGGCUGGAGCAGGCUGUGGUCCUGCAAGACCCGGUGACGUCCAACAGGGCACCGUGACCGCACAGAUCCACUGCAAAAGCGUCCUUCUGACACGCUGCUGGAGGAAACGAGCUGUCCCCAUCAGCAGUGCAGAGCCGCGCUGAGCCAGGCAGUCUGCCCCUUGUAAUGAAAACCCAGCAUAUGUGCAAAAUCAUCUAUAUAGUCCAACAGAGAUGGAAUCCACCUACGCUGCACACAGCCUGCCCCCAAAGCAACACCCCCAUGUAUCCUGUACCGACAGACGAAGCAGCCAGGCUCAGCGAUGUGACUGAGGGCACGCAGCCUGCCAGAGGUGCUGAAAAGCUCUUACAGCUCCCUGUCUCCUACGCUGGUAAACUCCAAAGGCAAUCCCGGAUGGAGGUAGACAAUAAAAACAGUCAGUGUUGCCAGGGAUCUUAUGCUUAAUCAGAGUCAUGCUGAUUUGCAUUGAUAUGAAUGGUAGGAUAUAAAAAAGCUCGUAAAUUUUAUUGAGUGAAAGCUUCAUCAGAUAUAAAGAAGCGAGACGGUAAUGGGCAUGAAACUAAUAGAAUAAAAGCAGUAUGGGGUCAUAUAAAAAUACA
This 1295-nucleotide long non-coding RNA is filed under the name Anser brachyrhynchus (Pink-footed goose). RNAcentral describes it as "lncRNA (ENSABRG00000016502.1)". Lineage: Eukaryota; Metazoa; Chordata; Aves; Anseriformes; Anatidae. The record is from RNAcentral.